GAUGAAUGCUGGCGGCGUGCCUAAUACAUGCAAGUCGAGCGAACGGACGAGAAGCUUGCUUCUCUGAUGUUAGCGGCGGACGGGUGAGUAACACGUGGAUAACCUACCUAUAAGACUGGGAUAACUUCGGGAAACCGGAGCUAAUACCGGAUAAUAUUUUGAACCGCAUGGUUCAAAAGUGAAAGACGGUCUUGCUGUCACUUAUAGAUGGAUCCGCGCUGCAUUAGCUAGUUGGUAAGGUAACGGCUUACCAAGGCAACGAUGCAUAGCCGACCUGAGAGGGUGAUCGGCCACACUGGAACUGAGACACGGUCCAGACUCCUACGGGAGGCAGCAGUAGGGAAUCUUCCGCAAUGGGCGAAAGCCUGACGGAGCAACGCCGCGUGAGUGAUGAAGGUCUUCGGAUCGUAAAACUCUGUUAUUAGGGAAGAACAUAUGUGUAAGUAACUGUGCACAUCUUGACGGUACCUAAUCAGAAAGCCACGGCUAACUACGUG
Molecule: ribosomal RNA, 497 nt
Filed under: uncultured bacterium
Lineage: Bacteria
Description: partial 16S ribosomal RNA
Rfam family: Bacterial small subunit ribosomal RNA
Source: RNAcentral